UCAAGCUAAUAAGAGCGCAAGGCGGAUGCCUUGGUACUGAGAGCCGAUGAAAGACGCGACAAGCUGCGAAAAGCUUCGGGGAGGAGCAAAUAUCCAUUGAUCCGGAGAUAUCUGAAUGGGGAAACCUGCCUAGGAAAACCCUGGGCAUCCCGGCAUGAAUCCAUAGUGCCUGGAAGGGAACCCGGUGAACUGAAACAUCUAAGUAGCCGGAGGAAGAGAAAGAAAAAUCGAUUUCCUAAGUAGCGGCGAGCGAACGGGAAGGAGCCCAAACCGGGGCGCAUGCGCCCCGGGGUUACGGACUGCCAAAGGCGAGUAAUCGCCUGGUAUUUCUGCGGAUAGCCGAACGGUUUUGGGAAAGCCGUCCAGAGAGGGUGAAAGACCCGUAGGCGAAAUCCAAGGGAAGCCGGCAGGAUCCAGAGUACCGCGGGACACGAGAAACCCUGCGGGAAGUCGGGGGGACCACCCCCCAAGGCUAAACACUCCUCAGUGACCGAUAGAGCAUAGUACUGUGAAGGAAAGGUGAAAAGAACCCCGGGAGGGGAGUGAAAGAGAACCUGAAACCUUGCGCUUACAAACUGCGGAACGCCUAUUGACAGGCGGACCGCGUACUUUUUGUAGAACGGUCCGGCGAGUUGCGUUUGCUGGCAAGGUUAAGCACCUAAGGUGCGGAGCCGAAGGGAAACCGAGUCUUAACAGGGCGCAGGGUGAGGCAAGCUCACCCACGAGUCAGUAAGAGCAGACCCGAAACCGGGUGACCUACCCAUGUCCAGGCUGAAGCUGCCGUAAAAGGCAAUGGAGGGCCGAACACACGUCCGUUGAAAAGGGCGGUGAUGAGGUGUGGGUAGGGGAGAAAUUCCAAUCGAACCCGGAGAUAGCUGGUUCUCCUCGAAAUAGCUUUAGGGCUAGCCCCGUUUAAGAGUCUUGCGGAGGUAGAGCACUGAAUUUCCUAGGGGGCGUCAAAGCCUACCGAAGAAUAUCAAACUCCGAAUGCCGUUAAGAUGAUGGACGGGAGUCAGACUGCACGAGAUAAGUUGGGCAGUCAAAAGGGAAAGAGCCCAGACCACCGGCUAAGGCCCCCAAGUGCGCGUUAAGUGGAAAAGGAUGUGGGAUUUCAAAGACAGCUAGGACGUUGGCUUAGAAGCAGCCACGCGUUCAAAGAGUGCGUAAUAGCUCACUAGUCGAGAGGUCCCGCGCCGAAAAUGUCCGGGGCUGAAACGCGCCGCCGAAGCCGUGGAACAGGGGAAGCCCCCCUGUUGGUAGAGGAGCGUUCCCAGCGCGGCGAAGCGUCACCGUAAGGAGGCGUGGAGAGCUGGGAAGAGAGAAUGCCGGAAUGAGUAGCGAGAUGGGGGUGGGAAUCCCCCAGGCCGAAUAUCCAAGGAUUCCAGGGUAAAGCUGAUCUGCCCUGGGUGAGUCGGGGCCUAAGGGGAGGCCGGAAGGCGUACCCGAUGGACAACAGGUGGAGAUUCCUGUACCACGUAUUACCAGAACUGCGGGGACGCGUAGUCCGAAGCGCAAGCCGGGGACGGAAUGCCCGGCGCAAGCACGCAAGGGGGGCGGAAGGCAAACCCUCCGCCGGAAGCCAAGCGUGUGACGCGGAGCGAACUCAAGUAGCGAAGAGCGCAGAGGAUACGCCAAGAAAAGCCGCUAUAGCGUAAUACGUGCCCGUACCGUAAACCGACACAGGUGGAUGGGGAGAGAAUCCCAAGGCCGGCGGAAGAAGCAUUGUCAAGGAACUCGGCAAAAUAACCCCGUAACUUCGGGAGAAGGGGUGCCAUGGCAACAUGGCCGCAGAGAAUUGGCCCAAGCAACUGUUUAGCAAAAACACAGGUCUAUGCGAAACCGGAAGGUGAAGUAUAUGGGCUGACGCCUGCCCGGUGCUGGAAGGUUAAGGGGAGGGGUUAGCGCAAGCGAAGCCCUGAACUUAAGCCCCAGUAAACGGCGGCCGUAACUAUAACGGUCCUAAGGUAGCGAAAUUCCUUGUCGGGUAAGUUCCGACCCGCACGAAAGGCGUAAUGAUUU
Molecule: ribosomal RNA, 2019 nt
Filed under: termite gut metagenome
Description: bacterial LSU rRNA
Rfam family: Bacterial large subunit ribosomal RNA
Source: RNAcentral